This 266-nucleotide ribosomal RNA is filed under the name uncultured archaeon. RNAcentral describes it as "partial 16S ribosomal RNA". It matches the Rfam family "Archaeal small subunit ribosomal RNA", at positions 718 to 982 of the family's 1478-position model. The record is from RNAcentral.
AGUCACUGACAUUAGACUACCCCGGUAGUCCCAGCCGUAAACAAUGUGCGUUAGGUGUGUCGGUAACCACGCGUUACUGAUGCGCCGAAGAGAAAUCGUGAAACGCACCACCUGGGAAGUACGGUCGCAAGGCUGAAACUUAAAGGAAUUGGCGGGGGAGCACCACAACAGGUGGAGCCUGCGGUUUAAUUGGAUUCAACGCCGGACAUCUCACCGGAUAAGACAGCUGAAUGAUUGUCAAUCUGAAGGUUUUACAUGACUAGCUG